ACGCUGGCGGCAUGCCUAACACAUGCAAGUCGAACGAGACCUUCGGGUCUAGUGGCGCACGGGUGCGUAACGCGUGGGGAUCUGCCCUUUGCUUCGGAAUAACAGUUAGAAAUGACUGCUAAUACCGGAUGAUGACUUCGGUCCAAAGAUUUAUCGGCAAAGGAUGAACCCGCGUAGGAUUAGCUAGUUGGUGGGGUAAAGGCCUACCAAGGCGACGAUCCUUAGCUGGUCUGAGAGGAUGAUCAGCCACACUGGGACUGAGACACGGCCCAGACUCCUACGGGAGGCAGCAGUGGGAAUAUUGGACAAUGGGCGAAAGCCUGAUCCAGCAAUGCCGCGUGAGUGAUGAAGGCCUUAGGGUUGUAAAGCUCUUUUACCCGGGAUGAUAAUGACAGUACCGGGAGAAUAAGCUCCGGCUAACUCCGUG
RNAcentral lists this ribosomal RNA (427 nucleotides) under uncultured bacterium. Its description in RNAcentral is "bacterial SSU rRNA". It matches the Rfam family "Bacterial small subunit ribosomal RNA", at positions 33 to 507 of the family's 1533-position model. The record is from RNAcentral.